RNAcentral lists this ribosomal RNA (249 nucleotides) under uncultured bacterium. RNAcentral describes it as "partial 16S ribosomal RNA". It matches the Rfam family "Bacterial small subunit ribosomal RNA", at positions 15 to 238 of the family's 1533-position model. The record is from RNAcentral.
GAUCAUGGCUCAGGACGAACGCUGGCGGCGUGCUUAACACAUGCAAGUCGAACGAGAAUCACUGGAAGGAGUUUUCGGACAACGGAAGGUGAGGACAGUGGCGGACGGGUGAGUAACGCGUGAGGAACCUGCCUUUCAGAGGGGGACGAACAGUUGGAAACGAACUGCUAAUACCGCAUGACACAUAGAGAUCGCAUGGUUUUUUAUUUGUUCAAAGAAUUUAUUCGCUGAAAGAAUGGCCGUCCGCGU